This 280-nucleotide unclassified non-coding RNA is filed under the name Hevea brasiliensis (rubber tree). Lineage: Eukaryota; Viridiplantae; Streptophyta; Magnoliopsida; Malpighiales; Euphorbiaceae. The record is from RNAcentral.
GAGAUCAACAUCAGGUUAUUGUACCUUGGUAGUAAUUUAGUCACUUAGAUAAGUAAGAAGCAGAAUGUAAUAGCAAGAUCCAGUGCAGAAGUAGAAUACAGAGCUAUGGCACAGGGCAUUUGUGAGUUACUGUAGUUACAGAAGUUGAUGGAAGAAAUGAGACUACUAGAAACAAACAGAUUGUCCUUAUUCUGUGACAACAAAGCUGCUAUCAGUAUAGUUCAUAACCCAGUUCAACAUUAAUCGGACCAAACUUAUAGAGAUUGAUCGACACUUCAUA